This 190-nucleotide non-coding RNA is filed under the name Clostridium carboxidivorans. Lineage: Bacteria; Bacillati; Bacillota; Clostridia; Eubacteriales; Clostridiaceae. RNAcentral also lists the same sequence under 1 other name. The record is from RNAcentral.
AAUUUAAUAAAAGUUUUAGGUACUUAUUAAGUUUAACAACUUAUGAGUUUAAAAGGGAAAUAGGUUAAAAGCCUAUGCGGUCCCGCCACUGUAAGGAUGAGUAUAUUAACAUUAUGCCACUCAGUAAUGGGGAAGGCCUUAAUAUAUGAUGAAUCUUAGCCAGGAGACCUGCCUAAAAUUAUAGAUACUG